UAAUUGAUUUGUAUAUUUUUUUCAGUUAACGUCUCCGGUGAAAUAAUAGAGGAAUAUUUAUUAAAUUUCAAUGAAACCUAUUUCGAGAGCGACGGAGAAGAAGAAUUGCCCCUUUUUUCGUCAAGUUCGGAUUCUUACGAAUCAGAUAAUGAAUCGCUUGAUUAUACUAAUACGAGUCUAGGAAGAGGCAGACCACGCGUACGUAAGAUUCGACGUCAAAGAAGUCGCCAAGACUCUCGACGUACCACUCCUGAAUCCCCCCAAGCUACGGAAUGGUCUAACGAGGAUUUCAUUCCCAACAUAGUUACGUUUACAGAGCCAGCGUACCUGCCUUUAAAUAGCGAUGGGUACAAUGAAACAAAUUAUUUUACACAGUACAUAAACGAAGAAUUAGUAAACCUCAUCGUUGACAAGUCCAAUUUAAGUUAUGCUGUAGAUACAGGGUCACAACUUAACCUAACGGCCGCAGAAUUCUACCAAUUUCUCGGAGUGAGUCUGGCAAUAUCGUGUAUUGGCUAUCCGACUUUACGGAUGUAUUGGGAUCGGAAAUUCAAAUUUCCUUUGAUAUGUGCCGCUAUGACCCGUGAUCGAUUUGUUUUGUUGAGAAACAGGAUUAAAUUUGUAGUAGAUGCUGAUGUUUCAGUUGAAGAACGUAGUGCUGAUAAGUUGUGGAAAGUCCGUCCAUUGAUUAAUGCAAUUAAACAAGGUUGUCGCGCACUGCCAAAGCAACAAUGCCUCUGUGUGGAUGAGAUAAUCGUUCCAUUUACAGAACAGUGUAGUAUUAAACAAUACUGCCCUGGAAAGCCUAAUCCUGUUGGCUUAAAAAUGUUUGUGCUUGCUGAUCCUCAGGGCCUAAUAUGCGAUUUCGACGUAUAUCAAGGACAGUGUACUUACCCUAAUUACGAUAACACUCAUUUCAGUUUGAGGGAGAAAGCGGUCUUAAAUCUUACAGAGGAUCUUAUUCCUGGGCACAAACUGUAUUUUGACCGUUAUUUUACUAGUGUCAAAUUGAUAAAAGAGUUAACAAAAAGACACUUGAUGGCCACUGGAACAAUUCAGAAAAAACGUAUUCCUGCAUCAGCUAAACCUUUGAUACAAAAUAACCGCGAACUGCAUCAUGAAGGUCAAGGAGCUUGUGAAGUUUUGACUGAUUCCAGCGAUAAUAUAGCGAUAACUCAAUGGUUCGAUAAUAAACCCGUUCUUCUUAUGUCCAACAUUCAUGCCAAGGAGCCUACAGAUACCUGCAAGAGAUGGUCAAAGUCUUUAGGUAUUUACACACAUGUCUCUAGACCUGACGUCAUAAAAGCUUACAACACCAACAUGGGUGGUGUUGAAUCAGCUGUCAAAUUACUGGCUGUCGCUCCGAACCGCUACAAAAGCCGAAAAUGGACAGAUAGAUUCUUCGGUCAUAUGAUAGAUCUGGCAGUAAGUAACUCGUGGGUUUCAUAUAAAGCUGAUCAGACUGCUCGAGGGACUCCAAGUAAACACAUCAAACAGUUCCGAAGUUUCAAAUUGGAGUUAGCUAAUGUCUUAAUUGAUACAUAUUUUGAGACCUCGACUGCUCCAAAUUUAUCAUCCCCGUCCACUCCUCAGAAGAAGCGAAGAGGCAGGAUCCCUGUGAUUCCAACACCAUCUCUUCGAUGCAGAAGGUAUAAUGCCAGACACAUUGCCAUAUUUGCAGAUCGACAAAAUAAAUGCAGGGUCUGCCACAAAAAAACUUGGAUGUCAUGCACGAGUUGCCAGAUUAAUUUGUGUAUCGUGAGAGACAGAAACUGCUUUAGGGACUUCCAUUCUUAGUCAGUUAUCUACGAAAGACAUUGCUGAUUCAAGAUCCUUUAAAAAAACAGACUUGUGAUAACGAACAGAAAAAUAAACAUAAGAAAAAAAGGAGUGUAGGAACUGUUAAUACAUACAAAAUAAAUAAAGAACUUAAAGAUAAAGGCAAAGAAUAUGUUACAAAAAAAGGAAAAGUGAUCGCAGAAAAAACAAUUAGAGAAAAUCCUUGUGCACCUGGAAAAUGUCCAAGGGGUUGUUAUGAGAUAACUGAAGAGCAAAGGAGGGCCAUUUUUAAUUUAUACUGGAGUCUCGAAAUGCGCCGACGCUCUGAUUGGUUGAUUCGCUGCGCUAAAAUUGGAUCUGUAAAAAGAAAGAAAAAUAAGGACUCUGACAGAAGGAAAUUAUCAGUAGAUUACUAUAUUAAUGUAGGUGAAGAUCAUAAAAAAGUUUGCCAACAAUUUCUUCUCUGUACUUUAGAUGUAUGUCAAACUCGUUUAACCUACGCCUUAAAAAAUGCUAAGGAACUGUUUCAUAAACGGAGAAAUACUUACAGAAAAUAGGAAAUAUGCCAGAUCAUCUACUAAAGACAUUACUGAUUCACGAUCUUUUAAAUAAUUUUCCCAGCACUGAACCAACAAAACAAACUUGUGUAAACGAACAAAAAAAUAAACAUAAGAAGAAAAGGAGUGACGGACAUGUUAAUAACAAAACAAAUAAAGAACUUAAAGAUGAAGGUAAAGAAUAUGUAACAAAAAAAGGCAAAGUGAUCGCAGAAAAGGCAAUGAGGAAAAAUCCUUGUGUACCUGGAAAAUGUCAAAGAGGUUGUUUUGAGAUAACUGAAGAGCAAAGGAGGGCCAUUUUUAAUUUAUACUGGAGUCUCGACGUGCACCGACGCUCUGAUUGGUUGAUUCGCUGCGCUAAAAUUGUAUCUGUAAAGAGAAAGAGAAAUAAGGACUCCAACAGAAGGAAAUUCUCAGUAGAUUACUACAUUAACUUAGGCAAAGAUCGUAAAAAAGUUUGUCAAAAAUUUAUUCUCUCUACUUUGGAUGUAUCCCAAAAACGUUUAACCUACACUCUAAAGAAUGCAAAGGAAGUGUCUAAUAAACGAAGAAAUACUUACAGGAAAUAAAGAAUAUUAUGUAAAGAUUUUUUCUUACAUUUCUAUAGAGUUUCUCCUACAA
RNA transcript from Ostrinia furnacalis (Asian corn borer), 2957 nucleotides. It is a transcript of the gene named piggyBac transposable element-derived protein 3-like, with no coding region annotated. NCBI's taxonomy places the organism in Eukaryota, Metazoa, Arthropoda, Insecta, Lepidoptera, Crambidae. The transcript is spliced from 3 exons. The record is from RefSeq and is a predicted model, not a curated record.